GCUGGGUGCGUUGGCUCGCGCCUGUAAUCCCAGCACUUUGGGAGGCUGAGGUGGGUGGAUUACUUGAGGUCAGGAGUUCGAGACUAGCCUGGCCAACAUGGUGAAACCCCAUCUCUA
RNAcentral lists this non-coding RNA (117 nucleotides) under Chlorocebus sabaeus (green monkey). Lineage: Eukaryota; Metazoa; Chordata; Mammalia; Primates; Cercopithecidae. The record is from Rfam by way of RNAcentral.